Molecule: non-coding RNA, 88 nt
Organism: Postia placenta Mad-698-R
Lineage: Eukaryota; Fungi; Basidiomycota; Agaricomycetes; Polyporales; Adustoporiaceae
Source: Rfam
GGCCGACUGGCGAAAUGGCAUCGCGUCUGACUACGAUUCAAGACGAAAUGGUAUCAGGAGAUUGCAGGUUCGACCCCUGCGUCGGUCA